Molecule: unclassified non-coding RNA, 159 nt
Filed under: uncultured Basidiomycota
Lineage: Eukaryota; Fungi; Basidiomycota
Description: sequence contains ITS1
Source: RNAcentral
AAGAUUCGACCCUCACGGGUCUAUCCCUUCUUCAGCUGUGCGCUUCGGCUGCACGCUGUCGAAACCUCACACACCUGUGCACCUUACGGUUGCGCUCAGUCGCUUCCGCAUUUACACAUACAAACACAGUCCAGAAUGUCACAUACCAUAACAUAAUAA